UCCAGGCCCUGCCCAGAGUGCCAGAGGCCACAGACGCUGAGGAGAGCUCCCCUUCUGCUGCCCCCCACACCCCCAGCCACUCUCGUCUGAGUCUCCUGUGGGGCAGGGGGAGCCAGCCAGAGCGUGUGCCCUCUUCUCCUGUCAAGCGAGGCUCACACCAACCCUCCAGGCAGGCCUUGCCACCAGGCCCACUUAGCAGAUGAGAAAUGCGGGAGGCUUAGAGGUCAUGGUCACGAGCCCUGGGCUCAGCCAGGAGAGGCAGAGGGCGGACCACACAUGGGCAGCCUGACUCCACUGCUCUGCUGCCCUGAGGGGUCCUGCCUGGGACCACACCCCAGAGCACUCUCUGCCAUCAAGGUGGGCUGCAGGGGGCAUCCUCUUCCACCAGACCUCACCCUGGCCUCCCUGCAAGAACACGCGGGCCGUGCGGCUUCCCCUCAGAGAGUCCGAGAAUGGAAAGGGACAGGGUGUCAGUGCCGGCCUGCUCGACAGCUUCCAGGGGAGGAGGGGGAGGCCCCAGCCCCACUUGCCACUUCACAUCUGGAAAUCUGAGUAUCCACCCUGCCUGCCUACCAGCCCUCAGAAGGUCUCCUGCAAAGAACUCAAGUUCCCAGCCUGCCACCCACAAGCUGUGUGAUGCGGGGCAAGGGCCUCCCCUCUCUGAGCCUCCAUUUUCUCACCCUCGAAAUACUCUAAAGGGAUGGCUAGAGAGUGGCCCAGUGGCAGACAACAUCUAUGCCCUGCCCAUCACCUGUCAGCCCACGAGGGACGUCACUGUGGCCUCCGUGGUCCCCGCUGCACACACCAAUGUCUUCUGUUGACAAGAGAGCACCUGGCCUGCAGGACAGCCCCAGGUGCCGUGCGGUUCGUGCCUCCGGGAACAGCCUCAGCCAAUAAGGGGCAGGACUGGUGGGCGCACAUCCCAGCUUCCUCGGCCCAUGCCAGGCAAUUCUGAGGUUUGCUCUGCACAGUCCCCUCAGGGUCCCCAGCUGGCUUGUGCCCCAAUUGCCUCCAAUGGUGACUCUUUGGCAAACGCAGCUUUUGUUGGCUUUCUUCCUUCCCCUGCCUCACAUCGUCACUGUGGUUUCUGGAAUUAUAUCCCAAAUACACUACCUGCACUCAAA
Neofelis nebulosa (Clouded leopard) is the source of this 1124-nucleotide long non-coding RNA. RefSeq lists it as uncharacterized. The record is from RefSeq and is a predicted model, not a curated record. NCBI's taxonomy places the organism in Eukaryota, Metazoa, Chordata, Mammalia, Carnivora, Felidae. The transcript is spliced from 2 exons.